AAGAGGAAAGUACCAUUAAUUCACAGGGUGCAAAAUAAUAUUCGCCUGGCUGAGAAGAAUGCUUAUGACCCAGUUCUCAUAUCGAUAGGCCCAUAUCAUCAUGGUACUCCUUCACUUGCUGCUGCAGAAAAAGACAAAUGGGCUUCUCUUGACUACAUCUUAAAGUUAAACCAAGAAAGAAAUUUGCAGGAUUACCUACAUGUUUUGAGUUCACUAACAGAUCGUGCCAGAAACACAUAUUCCGAGGAAAUUGAAAUGGACGAGGAUAAGUUUUUACAGAUGUUAUUGCUUGAUGGAUGCUUCAUAAUUGUUUCUCUUUAUGGAACAGCUGGACUAUUUGUGAGAAAACAAGAAAACAAUCUAGAUAGAAAGGAAAGAGGAACAUUGAUAGACAAGGCUGUUACAGGUAGUUCAAAAAACAAAGCAGAGGUAUCAGAGGUUGAGUUAACUGAUUUCAAUGCUGAGGAGAGUAUUCAGAGGGGUAAGUCUGUGUAUACUUCGGAAGACAGAUGUGAAGAUAAAGGGCCAUGUUAUAAUUCUUUUGUUGCGCAUGACCUUCUCUUACUAGAGAAUCAAAUUCCUUUUUUCAUUGUCAAGGGAAUAUAUGAGCUCCUUGUUUCUGAUGAUAGCACUUCCAGAUUACUUACUGACAAUAUUGGUGAAUGUAUUGAAGGAGUUUUAUUUAAUUACCCCAAAUCUAUCAAAGAGUUCGAAAGGCCUGUAGAUUUUCACCAUUUGGUCCACUUGUGUCAUAUGUAUUUCAGACCAAGGGCAGAGGAGCAUCAACACUGUGCAGGAAUACAGUACUUUGGUUAUUUUCGUAAGAAGUACUUUAAAGUUGGGAAUCAACUAGAAGAAAAUCAUUGGGUGGGAACAGAUAAGCAAAACUUCAGUUUACACGGUGAACCACAAAUAUUACGCUGGCGCCGAGCAGAACAAUACCAUGACGCUGGCAUUGAAUUUAAGAAAAGACCGUUCGAUCAUAAGAGUCCUCAUUCACUUCUGGACAUAAAUUUUGUACAUGGGGUGGUGGAAAUUCCCUUUUUAAUGAUUGAUGACAAAACUAGCUUUCUUUUCAGGAAUAUAGUUGCAGUUGAACAGUCAUGCCCUCAGUUUGGGAAUUAUUUCACUGCUUAUGUUUGUUUUGUUUCUCAGCUUCUCAGUUUGCCGAAGGACGUGACAAUACUCGCUAAGAGAGGGAUCAUUGUCCACCAAAUGCAUAGUGAUGAUGAAGUGUCUGUCCUUUUCACCAAACUUGGUAAAAAUGUGGAUUUUGAUGUGAAUGGAAAGUACUAUCUCAGGCACUUGUGCCAUGUAAUGGAAGAGCACUACCAAAGUCGCCUGAACAGGUGA
This 1353-nucleotide long non-coding RNA is filed under the name Oryza sativa Indica Group (long-grained rice). RNAcentral describes it as "lncRNA OsMH63_01G019340". Lineage: Eukaryota; Viridiplantae; Streptophyta; Magnoliopsida; Poales; Poaceae. The record is from RNAcentral.